Transfer RNA from Calocera cornea HHB12733, 92 nucleotides. It matches the Rfam family "tRNA". From Rfam's summary of the family: Transfer RNA (tRNA) molecules are approximately 80 nucleotides in length. Their secondary structure includes four short double-helical elements and three loops (D, anti-codon, and T loops). The record is from Rfam. NCBI's taxonomy places the organism in Eukaryota, Fungi, Basidiomycota, Dacrymycetes, Dacrymycetales, Dacrymycetaceae.
GGCGCCAUACCCAAGCGGUUAAGGGGCGAGAUUAGAAUUAUUCGAUCAUCUCGUACGCGUAGCGUGCGUCGGUUCAAAUCCGGCUGGCGUCG